GCCCGGGUGGUGGAACUGGUAGACACAAGGGACUUAAAAUCCCUCGGCGGAAACGCUGUGCGGGUUCAAGUCCCGCCUCGGGCACCA
Molecule: transfer RNA, 87 nt
Filed under: Desulfovibrio sp.
Lineage: Bacteria; Pseudomonadati; Thermodesulfobacteriota; Desulfovibrionia; Desulfovibrionales; Desulfovibrionaceae
Description: tRNA-Leu
Rfam family: tRNA
About the family: Transfer RNA (tRNA) molecules are approximately 80 nucleotides in length. Their secondary structure includes four short double-helical elements and three loops (D, anti-codon, and T loops).
Source: RNAcentral